GUACGCCGCGGCUGUCCUCCGCACGAGCCAGUGCACGAGCCAGUGCACCUCUCCGUACUUCUUAGGAGGCAGAGGCGAGAGAGUGUAUUGAUAAUCAUUUUUUACCUUACAUGUUUUCCAGUACACCUUGUGUGGUCACACACUAUCAUCAUUUUGAUCCAACGUCAUUCCCAUUUUACAGCUGAGGAAACUGAGUCACAGCAUGCCUUCAGAAACCCAGCCCAUUCGUGUGGUUGAGGAAAUUGAAAAUGCAUCCGUUAAAUAAAGGACUGCAUGGCUUUUGUGCCCUGACAGUGACCGCUGUUUGGUGAUGAGUUAAAGCCAAAGUGGGAAGUAUUCAAAACCCAAAACAAACCAAGGCGGAGUUGCAGUGGGUGAGGGGCAGGUGAGCGAUUUCUCCAUGGGCUUGCUAGUGGCUCAUUACUAUUUCUUAGGAAAGUCUGUCAGUAGCUUCAGUAAGGGCUCUUCAUUCUUUUUACGAUGCCCACCGUUCUCAUACUAUGUUACUAUUAUUUUAUCAUUUUAAAUAGAUUCAAAGCAGACUGUGUCUUGAAAUCAACAAUCCAGGCAGCCACAGUUGUCUUCAAAGAGGUCAUCGUAUUUGCUAGUUCUUGGCAAAUUAUAGUCUAUAUAUUUUUUUCCAUUUUGAAGUUAUUCUGUUUCUGGUUACCUGACUUUAUGCAUUCUUGUUUGUUGAUAUGACUACAAGUGACUUCAAUGGGCAGAUGUUUUCCUAGAUGCAGAACUAAUUAAGUUUAGUCGAAGAUUUUAAAAAGGUUGUAAACUUCCUUUAAUCUUCAACUUUUGAGACUCCAAAUACCAGUUCUACAGCUUCUGUAAGCUGGAAAAAAAAUCCCCCCAAAUAAUAAGGAAAACAAUGUAUAAACAUUUCCCAAACUAUUCUAUCCACAAAGAAUUCCAUUUAUAAAUGGAAUACUCCCUUCGUUUCUUUGCCUUGGAGCUUGGGGGAUAGCUGUUUCUAUUUGUACAUUUUCUGAAUUUCUGCAGUUUACACUUGUUUACGGUACGUUGGGGAGUUCAGAGUAACCAUUUGCAAAUGUUUGAAGAUAUUCAAAAGAAAAUAUCCCCCCUCCUCGAUUUUCCAGGGAAAUGACAUAUUCUCUUUAAAUAAAAUAAUCAAUGGAAAAAAUGUGUACCAUGAGUAACCCAUUCAGCCUCAAUUUUUCCAUUCCUGAGGAGCAACAAGUCCAUACAACUUCCCACCUUUGUGGCUCCCAAAUUUCUUAUGUGUUUCUAAAACCAGAAAGAAAAUAUGAGACUCUGUUCCCUGGCCCCAAUUCCGUGGUGCUCUCCCCGCCUCAGCAGCAGGGGUUCCUUCCACUUUUUGUUUUCUCUGGGAGAGCUCGAGGAGGGGGCUGUAGUUUGGGCUUUCGGGAGUUUAGAGUUUAAUUAUUAGUCUGGUCAUGGAGCCACAAUCCCAGAAAGGUCUAUGUCAGAGACAGGGAGCUCACCUCGUUAGGAAAGCCAGACGGGUGCAGAUGAGAGGUAACUUUCUGCCAGUUUAGUUUGUCCUGCUGAAGUAUUAGAGAGUGCUCUUCCUGGGAAGUCAGUCCAUCCUUUGGAAAUAUUACUCUGGGUGCCUACUUUUAAAGCAAGGAAAAGAAGAAAAAUUGCCAGCGAGAAGAGAAAAUCAAUACAAAUGGGAUGUGCUCAGAUCCCGUGCCAGACUUGAGAUUUUUAACGUUCUAAUAGUUGAUUGCUGGAAAAGUUAAUUGGCAACGUAAUCCUUGAUGUUAAAGUUUCGCCGUCUGUCAGGAUGCAGAUGGCUGUCCAGUUCUGGGUAUAGGUCAUUCAAAGAGCCAGCGAGAAGCACCAGGUGUGAUCAUGCACACAGGUGAGUGGUGAGGACCUGGAAGAGCGCUUGCCGUGGUCAUUUGAGGCUGUAGAGGAGAGUUUGCUGGGAUGAACAGUGUCAAGCUUGGCUUCAGACACAGCUCAUUCAAUGCUGCGGGGUCUAUUUUAACCCUUUUGACAAGGGGAUUGAAGGAGGGUUUUAAUGUGCAGGCAUCUGGCUUUGAGAUAUUAUUCCAAUCAGAUUAUGAUGGAAUAGGAAAUGACAUAUGUGACUAGGUAUUUAUUUAUUUCAGAUGUAGCCAUAACCCUCCGUCUUCAGCAGGCCUGGGACUAGAGUGAGGAAGGGGAAGUGCUUAGUGUGCAAACUUCAAAGAGUAAUUCACUCUCCGGGUCAUGCAGGUGCAGCCCUAGUCCUGGCUCUGAUCUCCAGACCUUCGGAUCCGUGUGGCAGCUCCCUAAAGCUAGUCUGCUCCAUGGACUAGUCUUUGGAUGGCCUUCAGCAAUCCCCCCUGGAAUGUCAUGGAAAGUUUUAUGUGCCCACGCACAGAGGCAUUUUCUUGGGAGGAGAGGUCCAUAGAUUUUGGCCUCAGAGAAACUAUGCCUUACAUCUCUGAAGGAUUAUCUUAUCACCAUCUGAGUUGGAAUUUUUCUUGUUACUCUGAGGAAGCUGAAUUAAUUAUAAGUUUCCUUUAAAACUUAGAACUUAUUUUUAGCAAAUUUUGCUGUGGACUCAAUAUUGCAGAAUCCCUCUUGCAGCUACAGAAUGUAGCACUUGCCUCGGUAAGAUUGCCUUAGUGACAAAAUGCAAAAGGUUGUAGAGCUUUCUUCAAGUUACCAUGUCCUAUGACUGCCUAUGGUGAAAGAAGAAAAGGGAAGCGAGAAAAGAAACAAGCUAGACACUUCCCCAGGACUUGGAUGUUCAGAGUUUCUGCUGUGGAGGGAGACCCUGUCCUUCCAUGAAAAACCUUUUACCCUGCUGUUGAGGCCAACGGAGCCGAAUGGCGAGAGUCUGAGAAGUGCAUGGUUCAGUAGACCCCAGGGCGUCGAUGUGGCCAUGUCUGAGAGUACUGCCCAUCCUCCCUAGCUCCCUAGCAUGCUUCUUCACCUGGGGAGAAUGUGCUUGGAAAGGGGAAAGCCUUUGACCAGCCAUUAGCAAGCCAUUGCCCAGAAGGGCACUGAAAAUAAGCUCCCUGUCUGGUUUCCAGUGAAUCACUUCCUCACCGGCCUGAGCGGCUGCCUGGGCAUCAUAGUUCAAUCAUUUACACCUACCAUGGUGCAGACAAGCAUUGUGGAGGGGCAGAGGUGUUUGAGAACCAAAGUAUACUACAGCAUGGAACACUUACCUCAUGGAGUGGAACGCUUACCUCCACCCCCAACACUCCGCCUUUUCCAGACUCUCUUGUCAAAGAGACUGUGCCAAAGGGACGGAGGGUGGCCAUUCUAUUUUCCUUCCCCCUGUCCUGUGCAGAACUAUUUUGUAUCCUUCAGAUGCCAAUUUGAAUGCAUAACACUUUAUAUGUGGGUACGUGUUAAGGACAUGCAUUCUGCCUGUGUAAACUUUUUUUUUAAGCCCCAAAAGCAUAAAAGGAAUCCAUUUCAGAGAAAAAUAAAUUAGCUUUAAAAGAUAAACAAUUUAGUGCUGGCAUCAUUUAACAGGGUCCCAUUCUCAAGGAAAAGGAGUAAAUGCCGUUUUUAAAUACUACUCCUGUAGAAUUCUUCUCCAUAUUUGUGGAUUUUCACAGCCUUCUGCUUGAGGAAAAAGUCUGGUGGGGUCAGGAUUGAGGACGUGAGGCCAUUGACAAGGAGGGGAAAUACACACACACAGGUUAUUUCAAGGGCCGUUUAAAAGAUUCUAGUGAAUAGACUGGAGCAAGAGCAAAGUAUAAUGACUGCGGAAAGUUGGAAUUAGUCUCUCAUGCUUUAAUUAGCUCCUGAGUGUUCGAAACAUUCUUACAUUGGAAACCAUCAGUCGAGUUGCCCCUGAGAUCUCUUAAUUUUACGCUCUUAGGACUGAGCUACAGACAUAAGCAACAACAUGCUCAUGAAAUUUUAGCGUGUUGCCCAAAUGCACAACUGAAUAGGGAGAAGGGAACACAAGAGCAGAACUGCCUUUCCAUGUAGCCCUGGGGUCAGGAUGGCAACAAAUCAAAGCUGUUUAGGCUCCCCAGCCUCAUCCCAUUCAGAUAUUUGGUUGUGCUGCUGGUUGUCUCAUCAUUCCUCCUUUGAACCUCUGGUUUGUUGUCUUUCUUUGAUAGCAAGCUGUGUUUUGUUUUGGGUCAAAGGGAAAGUAAGAAUAUGACUGAUAGCAUUUAAAGAACAGGAGGGAGAAACACACUUUAUGGACUUAUUUGACACGAAUCAUUGACCUAACGCCCAAAAAAUGCAAUUAAAAAGUGUAUCUCUCCCUUAUUUGCAUGGCCUAUUUCCCCAGACAUAUUUUUGGUAUUGAAAAUGAAUGGUAUUCCCAUACAACAUGUGUCUCAAUUUGUAAUGAUAUCCUCCUUGCAGCUGGCUUAGUUCUCCAAGUGUUUCUAAAAUGUUACUGUCUUAAAUUUGAGCCAACCUACAAUAACAAAUUAUCUAGAAGCAAAGUGGCUAAGCUGCAUUUGGUGAGAGAAGGGGAAACCCUAUAUUUCGUCCUUCAACUCUUGUUUUGGAAAUUCAGGCUGUAACGUGAUCUUUUUCUAGGGAAAUCUACACACGCACACUUUAAAAAUUGUGCAGAUUGGGUGUUGUGGGAGCAAGAAUGAUCAGGUUCAAGUUUCUCUGCAAAGUUCUGCAUCCCAUCAACAAGCCCUUUUGAUAUUUUAAACCCGUACUUAGAGUAAUUUCAAGAUAUUUGGAGCACAUGUGGUUAAAUGUAAAACUUUGUCAUUAUGAUUUGUUAGAUGCUUAUACUUUAAAUAUUUAUAAGCCAUUUUUAAGUACUUUAUCCAAAAGCUUUCUCCCAUUAGACUGCUGUACUGGAGUGGUAUCUGAGCAUCAUGAUAUAUGGAAGAUACCAGGGGGAUGUCACUGCAGUGUGCAUGCGCAUUCUUCCUGCUUUUCUGGUUUUAAUUCAAGUGACGUUUUUAGUAGAUUUCAGCUUAUUUAAAAAAUGUAUAAAAACUCAUAAACAGGGUUGGUUGUCUGUGAUUAAAAAAAAAAUUACCCAGUCCCCCAAAAGUAAAAUGUCCAACUUGAAUCACGCUGAGUCCCACCUCUUUUUCUUAUCCUGAGUAAUUAGUAAAACUUUCCGUUAGGGUGUUGGAUCUGGAUCUGUGUCCACCUUAAACUUAAAGUGUCACAUUGUUCCUCCGAAAUGUCUUAGGGACAACUUAUUGGUGGCUAGAUUGAAUUCUUACUAUUCACCUUCAGCCAUCUUGGGAACUAAGACGUAGGACCGUGGCUUUACCAUAGGGAGUCUGUUCGUGCACUUAAUGUGAAAGAGAGGAGAGGAAAAAACACUUUUUCCAAAUUCAGAAUCCAUUUAAGCUUCGGAGGUUAUAAAUUUCAAACUGACCACAGACCUCUGGGGCUCACACUCUUUUAUGGCUGGCAAAAUACAACUUUCUGGGAAGAACGGGGGAAAAGAAGGCUUAGAAGGGCUCAUAAACCUGCUUGGACAUCUAAUCGCUUGUACCAAGCAGCGUUUUCAUGAGUUAAGUGUAAAUGAGUCAGAAACAUAUAGAUUGAAUUUCUUUUAAAAUACACAUGGGUUUAAAAAUUAAGGCCACAGUGCUUGGCAAAAUAAGUUUUGGUUUUAGCCAAACCCCAGAAGUUUGAAAAAAUAGUUCUACAAUUUGCCAAACCAAAAAUACAUCCAGGUCCCUCCAUCCUCUCAUCUAAUACAAUGGCAUCAUAAACAUGGGGCUUAAUGUCUAUUUUCAAAUCAAGGUUUGAACAACAUGAAUCCCAGAUGCUAAUUGAAAACCUAUGAAAAAGUUUUUGUGGGAAAACAUUAUGAACGUAC
Molecule: long non-coding RNA, 5767 nt
Filed under: Equus asinus (donkey)
Lineage: Eukaryota; Metazoa; Chordata; Mammalia; Perissodactyla; Equidae
Description: lncRNA (ENSEASG00005037723.1)
Source: RNAcentral